UGAAUACGAGAUGCUACGGCGUCGAAGCAGUGUAUGUCAGACUUCCAAGAAAAGCUCGCAAUGUCAUAAAUAAAGAAUGCCUGUACCAUAACCGACACAGGUGGGUAGGUAGAGUAUACUAAGGGGCGCGAGAUAACUCUCUCUAAGGAACUCGGCAAAAUAACUCCGUAACUUCGGGAGAAGGAGUGCCUUCUAUUAGAAGGUUGCAAUAACAAGAUCCAAGCAACUGUUUAUCAAAAACACAGGUCUCCGCUAAGUCGUAAGACGAUGUAUGGGGGCUGACGCCUGCCCAGUGCCAGAAGGUUAAAGAAGUUGGUUAGCUUUGGCGAAGCUGAUGACUGAAGCCCUGGUGAACGGCGGCCGUAACUAUAACGGUCCUAAGGUAGCGAAAUUCCUUGUCGGGUAAGUUCCGACCCGCACGAAAGGCGUAAUGAUUUGGAUACUGUCUCGGAGAGGGACUCUCUGAAAUAGACUUGUCUGUGAAGAUGCGGACUACCUGCACCAGGACAGAAAGACCCUAUGAAGCUUUACUGUAACUUGAAAUUGAAAUUGGACUUUAUUUGCGCAGCAUAGGUGGAAGGCGUUGAGAUUACUCUUGCGGGAGUACUGGAGCCAUCAGUGAGAUACCACUCCUAUAAUGUUAGAUUUCUAACUUUGGAUCAUGAUCUGGUCAAAGAACAGUUUCAGGCGGGCAGUUUGACUGGGGCGGUCGCCUCCCAAAUGGUAACGGAGGCGUACAAAGGUUUCCUCUGAACGGGUAGAAAUCGUAUCUAGAGUGUAAAGGCAUAAGGAAGCUUGACUGUGAGACCUACAAGUCGAGCAGGGACGAAAGUCGGUCUUAGUGAUCUGACGGUGCUGAGUGGAAAGGCCGUCACUCAACGGAUAAAAGUUACUCUAGGAUAACAGGCUGAUCUCCCCCAAGAGUUCACAUCGACGGGGAGGUUUGGCACCUCGAUGUCGGCUCAUCGCAUCCUGGGGCGGUAGUACGUCCCAAGGGUUGGGCUGUUCGCCCAUGAAAGCGGUACGCGAGCUGGGUUCAGAACGUCGUGAGACAGUUCGGUCCAUAUCCGGUGUAGGCGUUAGAAUAUUGAGAGGAGCCUUCUUUAGUACGAGAGGACCGAGAAGGACAUACCUCUGGUGUACCAGUUAUCGUGCCAACGGUAAACGCUGGGUAGCUAUGUAUGGAGAGGAUAACCGCUGAAAGCAUCUAAGUGGGAAGCCCACCUCAAGAUGAGUAUUCUCAUC
RNAcentral lists this ribosomal RNA (1245 nucleotides) under metagenome. RNAcentral's name for it is "bacterial LSU rRNA". It matches the Rfam family "Bacterial large subunit ribosomal RNA", at positions 1564 to 2818 of the family's 2925-position model. The record is from RNAcentral.